AAGGUGAGAUUUUGGGGUAUUUAUCAGAAAUAAAUAUUAAAGAUAUCUAAUUCCUGUUAGACUGGAAGAGGAUCCUCUGUGUUUCACAUACUGUUUAAAGAUUACUACUGCACCAUUUCUUCUUUUGUUAUUUCACUUUUAAAUGUUGCAAUCAUUUAUUUAUUUUUACAGCCUGUAUUUGAAAGUAGUAUCUAAAUAUUAGUAACAAAUGUUUGAGGGAGCGUUGCAGAUCACAUUUAAUUUCUUGGUUACAAUGUUUUAACAGGUUUGUAAACUUUCUACAUCAGAAAUGAUAGUUAUUGAUACACAAGAGGAUUUGCUGGCGAAAGAGUUAACAGCACUCAAAACCACCAAAAGAUUGUUAUGGCUUUUACUUCAAAGAAGAGAACAGAAACAGAUAGGCAGUGAAAACAUUGAUGCUUUGAUACAGAAGUUAAGUGAAAAUGAAACCCACAAUACUGUCCCUGUACUGAAAGAAGACAAUCUGUCAAGACCUGUAAAUGCAAUUGAAGCUCAUCUGCAGUAUCAGAUUCAAAGAAAAGAAGUGGAAAAUGAUGAAUUAAAGCUGAAAACGCAGGUCAACAUAUUUUCAUGUGUUUUAAAUUUAAAGGCAAAUUAA
Molecule: long non-coding RNA, 619 nt
Filed under: Phasianus colchicus (ring-necked pheasant)
Lineage: Eukaryota; Metazoa; Chordata; Aves; Galliformes; Phasianidae
Description: lncRNA (ENSPCLG00000022071.1)
Source: RNAcentral